Gallus gallus (chicken) is the source of this 437-nucleotide long non-coding RNA. The record is from Ensembl. NCBI's taxonomy places the organism in Eukaryota, Metazoa, Chordata, Aves, Galliformes, Phasianidae.
GAAAGCUGGUAGAAACUGCUGUCAUCACACACCUGGAGAGAUCAGGUGGAGUCUGUUAGAGUAGAUAAAAGGAAUUUGAGAAGGGCAGGAGAGGCAGAUGGGGGGUGGGUGUGGGAGCAGCUGGCAAGAGGAAUGGGUGAACUCCAAGAGGAGCAAGCAGGAAGAUGUGGGAGAUGGAUACAUUGGAUUUGAAAGGAUGGCACACAGUCCCAAGCUGCCCUAUCUGAAUGUGUCAUCCCUUCCUGCCUCUCUGUGCUCUGCCACUUCCCCACGACAUCGUGAUUGGAAUUAGAAUAAACCCAUAGAAGAGGAGAAGAGUCCUUCAGGAUAUUUGCUCGUCUCGAAGCAAGUGGUGGAGGGAGAGAUCUCAACAACUCUUGACAUGGCCACAAGUGCCCUGUGCUGUGAUGCAUUGUCCCUUGCACCUCUCAGCGUUU